Molecule: ribosomal RNA, 465 nt
Filed under: uncultured bacterium
Lineage: Bacteria
Description: partial 16S ribosomal RNA
Rfam family: Bacterial small subunit ribosomal RNA
Source: RNAcentral
GACGAACGCUGGCGGCGUGCUUAACACAUACAAGUCGAACGGAAAGGCCCCUUUGGGGGUACUCGAGUGGCGAACGGGUGAAUAACACGUGAGUAACCUGCCCUUGACUUCGGGAUAACUUCAGGAAACUGGGGCUAAGACCGUAUAGGAAUCCUUGCUGCAUGGUGGGGGUGGGGAAGCUUCGGCGGUUUUGGAUGGACUCGCGGCUUAUCAGCUUGUUGGUGGGGUAGUGGCUUACCAAGGCGUUGACGGGUAGCCGGCCUGAGAGGGCGAGCGGCCACAUUGGGAAUGAGAUACGGCCCAGACUCCUACGGGAGGAAGCAGUGGGGAAUAUUGCACAAUGGGCGGAAGCCUGAUGCAGCAACGCCGCGUGCGGGAUGACGGCCUUCGGGUUGUAAACCGCUUUCAGCAGGGGCGAAGCUUGUGGUGACGGUACCUGCAGAAGAAGCACCGGCUAACUACGUG